AAGUUAAGAAAAGCUGAAAGAACCGAUCAACAUAUCCAAAUAAGAUUUUUUUUUUUUUUUUUUUUUUUUUUUUUUUUUUU
RNAcentral lists this non-coding RNA (80 nucleotides) under Aplanochytrium stocchinoi. The record is from RNAcentral. Lineage: Eukaryota; Bigyra; Thraustochytrida; Thraustochytriidae.